GAUAGUCUAGAGUGAGGGAGAGGCAGAUGGAAUUGGUGGUGUAGGGGUAAAAUCCGUAGAUAUCACCAAGAAUACCCAUUGCGAAGGCGAUCUGCUGGAACUCAACUGACGCUAAGGCGCGAAAGCGUGGGGAGCAAACAGGAUUAGAUACCCUGGUAGUCCACGCCCUAAACGAUGUACACUAGUUGUUGGGGUGCUAGUCAUCUCAGUAAUGCAGCUAACGCAUUAAGUGUACCGCCUGGGGAGUACGGUCGCAAGAUUAAAACUCAAAGGAAUAGACGGGGACCCGCACAAGCGGUGGAGCAUGUGGUUUAAUUCGAGGAUACGCGAAGAACCUUACCUGGGCUUGAUAUCCUAAGAACCUUAUAGAGAUAUGAGGGUGCUAGCUUGCUAGAACUUAGAGACAGGUGCUGCACGGCUGUCGUCAGCUCGUGUCGUGAGAUGUUGGGUUAAGUCCCGCAACGAGCGCAACCCACGUAUUUAGUUGCUAACGGUUCGGCCGAGCACUCUAAAUAGACUGCCUUCGUAAGGAGGAGGAAGGUGUGGACGACGUCAAGUCAUCAUGGCCCUUAUGCCCAGGGCGACACACGUGCUACAAUGGCAUAUACAAUGAGACGCAAUACCGCGAGGUGGAGCAAAUCUAUAAAAUAUGUCCCAGUUCGGAUUGUUCUCUGCAACUCGAGAGCAUGAAGCCGGAAUCGCUAGUAAUCGUAGAUCAGCCAUGCUACGGUGAAUACGUUCCCGGGUCUUGUACUCACCGCCCGUCACACCAUGGGAGUUGAUUUCACUCGAAGCCGGAAUACUAAU
This 807-nucleotide ribosomal RNA is filed under the name Campylobacter sp. RNAcentral describes it as "bacterial SSU rRNA". It matches the Rfam family "Bacterial small subunit ribosomal RNA", at positions 635 to 1439 of the family's 1533-position model. Lineage: Bacteria; Pseudomonadati; Campylobacterota; Epsilonproteobacteria; Campylobacterales; Campylobacteraceae. The record is from RNAcentral.